This 253-nucleotide ribosomal RNA is filed under the name uncultured bacterium. Its description in RNAcentral is "partial 16S ribosomal RNA". It matches the Rfam family "Bacterial small subunit ribosomal RNA", at positions 524 to 776 of the family's 1533-position model. The record is from RNAcentral.
UACGUAGGGGGCGAGCGUUGUCCGGAAUUAUUGGGCGUAAAGAGCGUGUAGGCGGUUCGGUAAGUCUGCCGUGAAAACCUGGGGCUCAACCCCGGGCGUGCGGUGGAUACUGCCGGGCUAGAGGGUGGUAGAGGCGAGUGGAAUUCCCAGUGUAGCGGUGAAAUGCGUAGAUAUUGGGAGGAACACCAGUGGCGAAGGCGGCUCACUGGACCGGAACUGACGCUGAGGCGCGAAAGCGUGGGGAGCAAACAGG